RNAcentral lists this long non-coding RNA (3382 nucleotides) under Phaseolus vulgaris (common bean). RNAcentral describes it as "long non-coding RNA (PVUL_LNC004821)". Lineage: Eukaryota; Viridiplantae; Streptophyta; Magnoliopsida; Fabales; Fabaceae. The record is from RNAcentral.
UUAUUUGUCCAUAACCUGUUUGAUGAUAUUCUCUCAUUCUUAGGCUACAGAAUUACGCUCUCGUUUAGGGUUCAUUUUGGAUCUCACCGGUAAAAUGUUUUCUACGUCUUUUAAUUUAUUCAACUAUUUUAAUCUGUCAAAUCGUUUUUUCAUUUUGCUGCAAUUCAAGUUCCAAAACCUAAGUCAUCUUUAGAGCGAGUUUGUUCUUUAUAAACACUUUCUCGUGUCUGAGGAUGACGAUGGUGUUUUCACAUUCAUUGACGCGAUGUUUACUCGAGGAACGAAAUGGAUUGCACAUUCCUUGUGCUUUUAGUGCCAAUGCUACAUUUCAUGUUUGAUUCUACAAUGGUGCGUCGAUGUAUCUGGACAUGUAAAAUGCAUUUUCAUUUUCUGUGUUCGAAAAUCGUUUUUUGUAUUCUCGCAUUCUCAAUUAAAGAUUUGAUGGUUCUGAUUUUGAGUACAUAAUGUAAGUUAGAAUUAUCGAUUUGAAAUAAGAGUUUAAUUCGUGAUUGCCGAGAAUCUAAACCAAUGAGUGUUUUUAGAGCAGUUUAUUUAUUAAAAUGAUUGUUUAUUUUUGCAAACAUUUUCAAUAAUUUUUGAAAAAAAUUACGGGUUGUUUUUCCAAACUUAGUGUUAAGGAUCUUGGUCCCAAUACUCGAUUCUAGGAUCUUUUGAUUGUAAUGGUUUGGUUGAGAGAAAAUUCAUUCUAGCGCAUAGAUUAUUGAAAUAUAAGCAUUUUGUCCUCUUUGGCUGCAUUCAAUUAUGAAAGUAAUGUUUUUUUUUUUUGUGUUAGUCAGGCUUCUUCUACUGUACUGUUAUAAAUCUGGAAUAUAUUCUCACGUUUCACGUAUAAUUUUUUCUUGUACAGCAUGUGCUAAGAUUAGCAGAUACUUCUUUACAUAUAUGAGCAUUGCUAUCCUCCUUGGUUGUUUCAUUAGCCUUGAGGGGUUAAAUAAUGAAAAUAAUGCUUAAAAUAAAGAUUUGUUGGAGUUAGUCAGGCUUCUUGUGUUGUUCUAGAUGUGCUUGGAGUUUGGAAUAUACUCCCAUAUUUCAUAAUAAUCAUCUUACAAACCUGCAUCCGUGGUUGUUUCCUCCGUGGUUGUUUUCAUUAGUCUGGAGAGAAGUUAAAUAAUGAAAAUGAUGCUUAAAAUAAAGAUUUGUUUGAGUUAGUCAUGCUUUUUACUUUUUAAAUGAAAGAAAGUCAAAGUGUUUGGAUUCAGAAUUUGUAGAGUGAAUUUGCUAGAAAAGUUUGUAUUUUUUUAUAAAAGUGUAAAAUGUAUGUUACCAAUGAGUGUUUUAAGAUCGGUUUAUUUUUUAAAAUAAUUGUUCAUUUUUGCAAACAUUUUCUUUUAAUUUUUGUAGUUGAUCAGGCUUCUUCUACUCUACUGUUAUAAAUCUGGAAUAUAUUCUCACAUUUCAUGUAUAAUUUUUCUUGUACAGCAUGUGCUAAGAUUAGCAUAUACUUCUUGACAUAUAUGAGCAUUGCUAUCCUCCUUGGUUGUUUCAUUAGCCUUGAGGGGUUAAAUAAUGAAAAUAAUGCUUAAAAUAAAGAUUUGUUGGAAUUAGUCAGGCUUCUUGUGCUGUUCUAGAUGUGCUUGGAGUUUGGAAUAUACUCCCAUAUUCCAUAAUAAUCAUCUUAUGAGUUUUUCUUUCCUCUGGUUGUUUUCAUUAGUCUUGAGAGAAGUUAAAUAAUGAAAAUGAUGCUUAAAAUAAAGAUUUGUUGGAGUUAGUCAUGCUUUUUACUUUCUAAAUGAAAGUGAAAAUGUUUGGAUUUAGUCUAUUACAGUGAAUUUGCUAGAUAAGUUUGGUUGUGAGAAAUUUGUAUUUUUUUUUAUAAAAGUGUAAAAUGUAUGUUUACAAAAUAUUUGUUUUAAUAAAUAUAUGAAUAAUUAAAUUAAAAACAUAAAAUUUAUUCAAGUUUAUUUUUUUUUAAUAUUUGCAAAGUUAAUGUUUGUAUAUAAAUAUGAAAGUGUAAGAAACAAGAAGGAUAGAUUAGUGAAAACAUUAGAAGCACUCUGAUCUGAAUGUGCAUUUGAAUCUGCAAACAUUGUGCACAUGAAAGGAGAAGGUAAUGGUUUUCACUGUUUAUUUAUGUUGAUCCUCUCCCUUUCAUUCACAUUCAAAUGAGAGAUGUGAGGGUCCAUUCGUGUUCAUAAAUAGUUUAGGGUUAAGUCUUGUAGAGAAAUGGUAAUUUUGUUAAUGAAACUAACUUAUUUAAGUUUAAAAAUAAAUCAUUUUUAAAAUUACACAUUUAAGAUAUUUGCUAAAAAUGUAUUAAUUAUUAUAAAUUGAAAGAUAAUUAGUUGAACUAAUAUAUAAAAGGUGAGAAAAUGUUUCUAAAUUUAAUAAGCAUGGAUAGUACGAAGUACAAAGAAGUAAAAAUAGAAUGCAUAUAAAUAUAUAAAUGGAAAAGAUAGUGUAAAUAAAAAAAGGUAAAUAAAAUAUAAAUAAGAAAUACAUAAAUUGUUAAAAUCUUAAUGAAGUGAGACAAAAAGUACGUAAUUAAAAACAGUUUGUAAGUAAAUCAUUUCUGAACAAUUUGAAUUUGUUAUUUAGUUAGUGUUUCAAAAUAUUUUUGUCAUCUUCAUUGAUGUAGUUUAAUAUAUAAUUUUUUAUUUAUUUCAAUUUAAGUUUUGUUAAUUUAUUUGAUCAUUUUCUUUUUACUAUUUUAUAUUAUUUAAAUUUGAGAUGAUCACGAAGGUUAAUAAAUUUCAAAUUAUAUGUGCAAGUUAUAAAAUGAAGGAUACAAAUCCAGUAUAUGUCAACGUAAUUUAGACAUCUUAUAAAUUUGUAUAUAUGUCAGAUUAUGAAGUUAUUUUUUAUUUGAGAUUAACUUCUCUGAAUUAUGUUUGUAUAUAAAUUUGUGGAUUUUAUUUUAUAAAUUUUGAGAAAAAUUUUGGAUUCGAUUUUUUUUUUUUGAAUUAUAUAAUCUGGAAUGUUUUUUUAAAAAAAGAUGAAAGACACUCAAAUUGGUGAUAAAACUAAUGCAAGAAAAGAGUGGAGGUCCUUGGGUGCUCGGGUGAGAUAAAAUUGAAGAAUAAAAAGGGUGUUUGGGAUUGCAAAGGUUAAUUUUUUUUUAUUGAAGGAAAAAAAAGGAGUAUUUUCACAUGUAGUAUGGGGGUGUGGCAAGAAUUUAUGGAGGUGCAUGAAGAAGCAGCCCUACAUCUGACCCAUUUGAUAAACAAAUUAAUGCCUUUUCUUCCUGCACCCUAUCAAAUUCAAACUUGUACGAUAUCACUAAUGUGAAAUAUAAAAGAAAAAUGUUCUCUUUAGAUAGAAUGUAGAUCAUAAUGUUUUCUAGAUUUGGUUCUUAAAUAAAAUUUUAGAUUUGGGUUCCAGAACACCUUUACAAAUUAUUUCUAAAAUAGUUUUUUGGAAUGGG